Neolamprologus brichardi is the source of this 1498-nucleotide non-coding RNA. The record is from RefSeq and is a predicted model, not a curated record. Lineage: Eukaryota; Metazoa; Chordata; Actinopteri; Cichliformes; Cichlidae.
UCUAACCCUGUCUCAGGCGACUCCAGCUACGGCGCCUUCAGACGUCCCUCCUAAACAGUCGAAAGAGCUUGAGAGACGGACUUUAAGAAGUUGCUCUUUUAUUUAAAAACUAAAAAAGAAAACUAGUCCGAUUAAUUCAAUAAACGUGGGACGUUAUUAGACAACACCAGCUUCGGCAUUCCAACCAUUCGGAUCAGCAGAAUUCGAGAACCCGGAAAUGUUAUUUUUAACUGCGUCACAGUGUAUAACGCUUUUAGGCAUCUUUGUGUUUGUCUCUGCAGGUGAGAUUUCUCUCGUUCUCUGUGUCAACUGAAUUGACACAGAGCUUUGCAUAAAGAUGUCGAUUUUUUUUCAUAAUUUAAUAGUCAUUAAUUUGUUGGUGUUUUGUCUUCUGUCAACUUGACAGCGUCUAAACGUGUCUCUAAUACUACUAACAUGUUAUGUGUUCAGUUUAGCACCGAACUAACUGAUUUUAAAUGAUUUGUUGGUGCACUAAAAUCCUUACUACAACUACUAUAUUUUUGAAUGAGAGUGCGCGCGCAUCAUCGCAACAAUCCCGUUCAUCAUUUUUCCGAGAGCCUGGCUGUCUGUGAACCAAAAGACGCGGAACAAAGCCAGAGAGGAAACGAUGAUCACUGAAAAGUGGCAUGCUGCUCAUUGGGGCACCAGGACAUGUUAUUUUGGUGAAUGGCCAACUGACCGGUGAUGUCAUAGCGAGCAGAAAUGAAUAAGCGGACCUCUAAAAAAUCUGCACAGCUGGCAAAAAUGCCACCUUCAUCAACAAACUGUAUGCCCUCUUUAAAAUAUCCAUAGAACAAUAGAUUCACGUGUACACCGUUUCUCUCCCCUUCCCUUUCUCCAAGCAACUCCUGCAACACCUGUUUCUUGUCUAAUGUUAGGUAAGCAACAGGUGUAACUGACAGGAAGGGGAGAAAAUUUUAAAAAGUUAAUGUUAAACAAAUGGCAGCAAGGUACCAGACCAGACAACGACGCUACAUCUUAAAAAAAAUAACUCAUAAAUAAAACGAAACAUCUAAUUUGGCUACCAAGUGUCUGUGAAACCACACUUUGACCCAUCGCCCCUGUCAUCAAUAUCAGACUCAUAACCCUGGGAAUGUGAUGUGAUCAGUCUGAAGUUAACUAGCUCAAAGUUUCCUUGGACCUCAGAAGGAGACUCUACGAGCAUCACUAGCAAAUAUUGAUUAUUUUUAAUUUUUAAUUUUUAUUUUUUUUGGAGACGUUUGAACAGAGCCGUCCUCGUUCUUGUUUUUAUCUUAAUUAUCCCCCCUUGUUUGCUGAAGACAAUGUAAUUAUUUUGUAAGCAGUAUUAUAUAAUGCCAAAACAAGACACAGUGUAAUUUUUACAUUGACUAAGCCUAUGUUUGAAUUGUUUCUAUAUUUAUUUGUUAUUCUCCGACUCUUAAAGACCACCAAGGCUGCAGCUGAAAGGAUAAAAUGUAAUUUAAACAUUAAAUUAAACAUUACAUUAAAUAAUAAA